UAGGGAAUCUUCCACAAUGGACGAAAGUCUGAUGGAGCAACGCCGCGUGAGUGAAGAAGGUGUUCGGAUCGUAAAGCUCUGUUGUUGGUGAAGAAGGAUAGAGGCAGUAACUGGUCUUUAUUUGACGGUAAUCAACCAGAAAGUCACGGCUAACUACGUGUCAG
Molecule: ribosomal RNA, 164 nt
Filed under: uncultured bacterium
Lineage: Bacteria
Description: partial 16S rRNA
Rfam family: Bacterial small subunit ribosomal RNA
Source: RNAcentral